AAAUUCGUGAUUAAACAAUACCCAUGUGUUACUACGACCCAUAAAUUACACAACAACUAUAUGAAUACAUGGACAUUGAUAUCUUUUGCUAUACAUUGUUUCUUUCUGAUUUUAUAUUAGAUAUUCGAACUCCUGUUCUAGCAGUAUACCAACCAGGUCCACCGAUACAUAGUGUGAAACAAUCCCUACAAUAUACGAAACAUUUUUUAUGACGUAGACAUCUUGUCGUUCCAAGAGUUUUUCAGGAGCUCAAACUUCAGGAGCUCAAACUUCAGAUAGAAAAUUGAGAAAUCAGAAAUUACGGUCACAAUAAUCAAUGAUUAAAGAAUAACUCGGCUAUGGUGAAAGCAUCCCCAAUUAGAUAGGUUAUCUUCUAGAAAGAUCAUAAAUAAAAGGAAGAGCACAUAUGCGCCAGGACAAGAAGGAACCGAGACAUAAAAAAUUGUUAGACUUGACUUGCUGCAUCAUAUCCAUGUCUUUUACUUCAACUUGUACCUUUAUAUCACUGAUGGAGAUAGGAUUAAAUCAACAGAGGAGUUUCUGCACGCUAGCAGUGUGAUGGUGGCACCAACGACUGCAGCCGAACAAAAAUAUAAAAGACAAUGUUCCCCGGGUCAAAUUCCCUCAUGAGAACUACACAAGCUGUUAUAGCACUUAUACACAGUUUCACUCUUUUGAUCCAGAAUAUAUACGCAAUUUUAUUCUUGGAUCAAAAGAGUGAAAAUGCGUAUAAGUGUUAUAGCAGCUCACUGGAUAUUGAGUAUCAAUCAUUCAAAACAGUUUUAUCAUUAGGUUGGCAUAAUGUUUUGUACAAGCUACUCAGAUCACUGGAUAUUGAUGCCAACAUAAUGCAUCUAAUUGAAUGAUUGAUCUAUACUAUGUUCGAGAAUUCAAACCUUCACAGAGCAAAACAAUCAGCCGGAAGAAAACACACUGGCGUACAAGCUCCUGUCGCGGGCACUCGUACAACACUGUUGUACAAACAUAACAACAGAUGAGAGGGUUCAAUGCAUGAGAGGGUUCAGAAAGGACAACUGGCUACUACAAAAACAAAAGCCACUUA
This 1063-nucleotide long non-coding RNA is filed under the name Zea mays. RNAcentral's name for it is "long non-coding RNA (ZMAY_LNC003872)". Lineage: Eukaryota; Viridiplantae; Streptophyta; Magnoliopsida; Poales; Poaceae. The record is from RNAcentral.